RNAcentral lists this ribosomal RNA (606 nucleotides) under uncultured Actinomycetes bacterium. RNAcentral's name for it is "bacterial SSU rRNA". It matches the Rfam family "Bacterial small subunit ribosomal RNA", at positions 252 to 866 of the family's 1533-position model. Lineage: Bacteria; Bacillati; Actinomycetota; Actinomycetes. The record is from RNAcentral.
GUGGGGUAACGGCCUACCAAGGCGACGACGGGUAGCUGGUCUGAGAGGACGACCAGCCACACUGGGACUGAGACACGGCCCAGACUCCUACGGGAGGCAGCAGUGGGGAAUCUUGCGCAAUGGGCGAAAGCCUGACGCAGCGACACCGCGUGGGGGAUGAAGGCCUUUCAGGUCGUAAACCCCUUUCGGCAGGGACGAAGCGAUCUCGUGACGGUACCUGCAGAAGAAGCACCGGCCAACUACGUGCCAGCAGCCGCGGUAAUACGUAGGGUGCAAGCGUUGUCCGGAAUUAUUGGGCGUAAAGAGCUCGUAGGUGGUCUGUUGCGUCGGCUGUGAAACCCCGAGGCUCAACCUCGGGCCUGCAGCCGAUACGGGCAGACUAGAGUUCGGCAGGGGAGACUGGAAUUCCUGGUGUAGCGGUGAAAUGCGCAGAUAUCAGGAGGAACACCGGUGGCGAAGGCGGGUCUCUGGGCAGUAACUGACGCUGAGGAACGAAAGCGUGGGUAGCGAACAGGAUUAGAUACCCUGGUAGUCCACGCCGUAAACGGUGGGCACUAGGUGUGGGUUCCUUCCACGGAAUCCGUGCCAUAGCUAACGCAUUAAGCG